UCUUUUGUUCUACUAUAGAAUGAGAAUGAAGAUAAUGUUGAAGAUGGGGAAGAAGAGGAUGAUGAAGAAGUGACAUUGUUAAUGGAGGAUGAUCAUGAAUUGAGUGACAUUGAUCUUGGAGAUGAUGAAUGAUGAAUUGAAUUUUAUGUUUAUUGACUUUAGUCUUUUUA
Molecule: long non-coding RNA, 170 nt
Organism: Neltuma alba
Lineage: Eukaryota; Viridiplantae; Streptophyta; Magnoliopsida; Fabales; Fabaceae
Exons: 3
Source: RefSeq, a predicted model, not a curated record